This 252-nucleotide ribosomal RNA is filed under the name uncultured bacterium. Its description in RNAcentral is "partial 16S ribosomal RNA". It matches the Rfam family "Bacterial small subunit ribosomal RNA", at positions 524 to 776 of the family's 1533-position model. The record is from RNAcentral.
UACGAAAGGAGCGGGUGUUAUUCGGAUUAACUGGGCGUAAAGGGCGCGUAGGUGGUUUGUUAUGUGUGUUAUUAGAUCAUAAAGCUUAACUUUAUAGAAUAACAUAUACAGCUAAACUAGAGUUUAGUAUAGGGUAGUAGAAUUUCUAAUGUAAAGGCGAAAUUUGAUAAAAUUAGAGAGAAUACCGAUGGCGUAAGCAACUACCUGGGCUUUAACUGACAUUGAGGCGCGAAGGCGUGGGGAGCAAAUAGG